GGCCGCAUAGUGUAGUGGCCAACACGCUCACUUUGGGUCAAGCAAUGCUGCGCCACAUGUGAGAGGUCCCGAGUUCGAACCCCGGUGUAGCCC
This is a non-coding RNA of Tilletiopsis washingtonensis, 93 nucleotides long. NCBI's taxonomy places the organism in Eukaryota, Fungi, Basidiomycota, Exobasidiomycetes, Entylomatales. The record is from the annotation of a RefSeq genome assembly.